AGUGAACGCUGGCGGUAGGCCUAACACAUGCAAGUCGAACGGCAGCACAGUAAGAGCUUGCUCUUACGGGUGGCGAGUGGCGGACGGGUGAGGAAUACAUCGGAAUCUACUUUUUCGUGGGGGAUAACGUAGGGAAACUUACGCUAAUACCGCAUACGACCUACGGGUGAAAGCAGGGGAUCUUCGGACCUUGCGCGAUUGAAUGAGCCGAUGUCGGAUUAGCUAGUUGGCGGGGUAAAGGCCCACCAAGGCGACGAUCCGUAGCUGGUCUGAGAGGAUGAGCAGCCACACUGGAACUGAGACACGGUCCAGACGCCUACGGGAGGCAGCAGUGGGGAAUAUUGGACAAGGGGCGCAAGACUGAGCAAGCCAUACCGAGUGGGGGAAGAAGGCCGUCGGGUUGUAAAGGCCGUUUGUUGGGAAAGAAAAGCAGCAGGUUAAUACCCCGCUGUUCUGACGGGACCCAAAGAAUAAGCACCGGCUAACUUCGUGC
This 493-nucleotide ribosomal RNA is filed under the name uncultured bacterium. Its description in RNAcentral is "partial 16S ribosomal RNA". It matches the Rfam family "Bacterial small subunit ribosomal RNA", at positions 29 to 508 of the family's 1533-position model. The record is from RNAcentral.